This is a non-coding RNA of Prunus persica (peach), 306 nucleotides long. It matches the Rfam family "Plant signal recognition particle RNA". NCBI's taxonomy places the organism in Eukaryota, Viridiplantae, Streptophyta, Magnoliopsida, Rosales, Rosaceae. The record is from Rfam.
GCCGAGCUAAGUAACGAGAGCUUGUAACUCAAGUGGGGGCAUUAAGGUGAUGGAACUUUGGCCCAGAAUUAACGGGUUGGGUCUGGUAUGGCUCUUUACUAGCCUGCCCAUUCCAAGCAAAGAGUUGUUCCAUGUGAUCUGAGCGAAAGCUCUGGGCCACAUGGCUCCUAAAGAGGAGGGCACCGCGUGAGGCUGGGUUCACAGAGCAGCGCCUACCUCCCGCUCUUUGCAGUGGAAGGAUAACGGGCUGGUGCCACCUUGAUCCAUCGUGGCCCGGUAGACUGGUCCACAUGAACCUAAUCCUUC